GAUGAACGCUGGCGGUAUGCCUUACACAUGCAAGUCGUACGAGAGUUUUUAACUCUAGUGGCGGACGGGUGAGUAACACGUAAGAAUUUGCCUUUAGGAGGGGGACAACAACUGGAAACGGUUGCUAAUACCUCAUAUGCUUUCGAGUGAAAUGGAUUUCCGCCUAAAGAGAAGCUUGCGGCUGAUUAGCUUGUUGGUGAGGUAAUGGCUCACCAAGGCGACGAUCAGUAUCUGGUUUGAGAGGACGAUCAGACACACUGGAACUGAGACACGGUCCAGACUCCUACGGGAGGCAGCAGUGGGGAAUUUUCCGCAAUGGGCGAAUGCCUGACGGAGCAAUACCGCGUGAGGGAUGACGGCCUAUGGGUUGUAAACCUCUUUUUUC
Molecule: ribosomal RNA, 385 nt
Filed under: uncultured bacterium
Lineage: Bacteria
Description: bacterial SSU rRNA
Rfam family: Bacterial small subunit ribosomal RNA
Source: RNAcentral